Molecule: ribosomal RNA, 253 nt
Filed under: uncultured bacterium
Lineage: Bacteria
Description: partial 16S ribosomal RNA
Rfam family: Bacterial small subunit ribosomal RNA
Source: RNAcentral
UACGGAGGGUGCAAGCGUUAUCCGGAUUUACUGGGCUUAAAGGGUGUGUAGGCGGGCCUUUAAGUCUGGGGUGAAAUCUCCGAGCUCAACUCGGAAACUGCCCCGGAUACUACCGGCCUUGAAUUAUGUUGAGGUCGGCGGAAUAUAACAUGUAGCGGUGAAAUGCAUAGAUAUGUUAUAGAACACCGAUUGCGAAGGCAGCUGACUAAGCAUAUAUUGACGCUGAGGCACGAAAGCGUGGGGAGCAAACAGG